This 339-nucleotide ribosomal RNA is filed under the name Triticum aestivum (bread wheat). RNAcentral describes it as "partial small subunit ribosomal RNA". Lineage: Eukaryota; Viridiplantae; Streptophyta; Magnoliopsida; Poales; Poaceae. The record is from RNAcentral.
AUGGAGAGCAGCAGGGCAGCGAGCUAUUCGCCACCAGCUGCAGGUUUGCCCCCUUGGACCACACAAAGGACACCGCUGUUUAUCUGUGCCUUCAGGCCAGGGAGCCGGAACCGAGGAAGAUCCAUGAGGAGGCGAUGGUACGCAGCUCUCCUGAUUCAUGUUGUUGCCUGCACGCACCUCUCGGCCGGCCAGCCGGAGCGGCGACGUAGCGCGCCGUGGUAUCUCGGGUGGAGGCUGGAGGGCAGUAUCAGGAGAGAUGGGUCUAUUGGUGAGGAGCGGUUUGGGCACAGCCGUGACAUGAGAGACCCACGCCACGGGGGGCUUUUUAUACGCACAUAG